This 250-nucleotide ribosomal RNA is filed under the name uncultured bacterium. RNAcentral's name for it is "partial 16S ribosomal RNA". It matches the Rfam family "Bacterial small subunit ribosomal RNA", at positions 524 to 773 of the family's 1533-position model. The record is from RNAcentral.
UACGGAGGAUGCGAGCGUUAUCCGGAUUUAUUGGGUUUAAAGGGUGCGUAGGCGGGAUUAUAAGUCAGCGGUGAAAGUUUGAGGCUCAACCUUAAAAUUGCCGUUGAAACUGUUUUUCUUGAGUAUAUUUGAAGUAGGCGGAAUUCGUGGUGUAGCGGUGAAAUGCAUAGAUAUCACGAAGAACUCCAAUUGCGAAGGCAGCUUACUAAACUAUAACUGACGCUGAAGCACGAAAGCGUGGGUAUCAAAC